Long non-coding RNA from Magnolia sinica, 407 nucleotides. RefSeq lists it as uncharacterized. The transcript has 2 exons. The record is from RefSeq and is a predicted model, not a curated record. Lineage: Eukaryota; Viridiplantae; Streptophyta; Magnoliopsida; Magnoliales; Magnoliaceae.
GCAAAUAAAAUUCUGGUUUGCGAAAGGUUUUACAAAAAAAUAAGAUUUUGUUAAGGUUUUAGGUUCAUGAAUUGAGAUUUGGGAAUCAGGGUUUUAGGGAUUUAAAGGAUAUAGGGAUGAGAAAUGAAAUGGGGCCCACAUGUGAAGGUCUGUACGGACACACGUGCCUGCGUGGAUGGGUAGGGAGAAAGAAGAAAAGGGAUGGAUUGGGUUUGGGUUUUAACAGGUUUAGAAAUGUUGUAAGGGAAGGGAAAUGGGGAAGAAAAGAGAAGAAGAGGACUACCUUGUUGGAGAAGAGAAAGAGGAAUGAUGUACAUUGGGGAAUCCACCACCAAACAAAUCUCUAUCCUUCCACAAUUCAAUUGGAAGGGAGGGUUUCUCACAAACCCUUAAAAAAAGAAGAAGAA